Crotalus tigris (Tiger rattlesnake) is the source of this 1287-nucleotide long non-coding RNA. RefSeq lists it as uncharacterized. The transcript is spliced from 3 exons. Lineage: Eukaryota; Metazoa; Chordata; Lepidosauria; Squamata; Viperidae. The record is from RefSeq and is a predicted model, not a curated record.
AAAUGCAGUGGGGGAGGGGUUGCCCUCCAAGAGGAAUGAAAAAAGGCAGCAAUGGCUGAAGAAUAUACCAUAAUAAUCACCACGUGCUUAGUCAGAACCUGUGAUACAACUGCAUCUCUUCUGACUCAUCAGAGACCUACAAAUGAAGGAUUUCACAUCCAAGGCCUACAAUGUCUAAGGAUGUCCAAGGAUGGAUCAACAAGAAGUAUCAAUACCCAUGAACAGCUCCCCAAUCUGAAGAUGCUGCUCAGAAUUGAGAACAAGGGAUGACACUGAAGUUAUCAAAAGAGGACAUGAACUUGGUAACAGGCCCAGAAAUCAACUCUAUCCCAACCUCUCCUCAACCAUUAAAGGAUUCAAAAAGCUCAGCCACAAUAUCAAGCAUUCAUCUUUCAAUAAGUUAUAUGUUAUCAAUUUAUUUAUUUCUUAAAUAUAUGCCCUGUCUAUUGUUCAGGAGCUCAAGGUAGCACACAUAACAUUCCCUCUUUCAUUUUCUUCCCUGGGAGUAAGUUGGGUUGAGAGAGAGAAACUGCCUCAAAGUCUCCUGGUGACUUCCUUGGCUGAGAGUAAAUUUGAACCUAGGUCUCUCUCUAGUAUCAGUUCAACUCCUUAACUAUUAUACUACAGAAUUGCUAUUUGUGCCCUUCAUCGUUCUACACAGGAGAAAUAAACAGCAUUCUCAAUGCAAAACAAUAAUUGUACAUAAUUCUGACAUCAGAAAUGGCAACAUUCAGGGUAGUCAAUCAAUGAACUUAAAGCAGCUACGCCUUUCAAAGGAAUUUUGAAUCUAGCAAAAACCUGCUUGAAUUUAUACUUACUAAAAAGUUGCAAUACAUCAUUUGAACCAAGUAAAAAUAUUUUAAUCCCCUCACAUAUAUUAACUAUUAGGGCUUGGAAAUGUAUUAAUGGUGAAUGAUCACUGUAAUUUAAAAACCAUAUUUACUUUUAAUUGUUUCUGUUUCUGUUUUCUCCAUUAUGAUUAUUUCCCGCACUUUUAACACUUAACAUGAAUCUUCCAUCUACACAGAAGUUUAUUUGUAUGUAUAUGUAAAUAUAAAUUCUGCAUUGCAGAAUAUUCAAUAGUUUUUAAGAUAUCAAAAAUCUCUGCUGGGAAGAUUUAUCUGGAACUACAAGUUUGAGCCUUAGGGCAUAGGCUCCUCCAGCAAUUUUCUUAAUCACUACAGUCCUAUAGGAGAUCAACUCUGACUGCUCUUUAGAAGGCCAGAUUCUGAAGCUGAAACUCAAAUACUUUGGCCACCUAAUGAGAAGGAAGGACUCACUGGAGAA